RNAcentral lists this ribosomal RNA (440 nucleotides) under uncultured bacterium. RNAcentral's name for it is "partial 16S ribosomal RNA". It matches the Rfam family "Bacterial small subunit ribosomal RNA", at positions 338 to 795 of the family's 1533-position model. The record is from RNAcentral.
CCUACGGGAGGCAGCAGUAGGGAAUAUUGGUCAAUGGGCGAAAGCCUGAACCAGCAACGCCGCGUGGAGGAUGAAUGCUUUCUGGUUUGUAACUUCUUUUUUUAGAGAAGAUAAUGACGCUAUGUAACGAAUAAGCUCCGGCUAACUCCGUUCCAGCAGCCGCGGUAAUACGGAGGGUGCAAGCGUUACUCGGAAUCACUGGGCGUAAAGAGAGCGUAGGCGGGAUAGCAAGUCAGAUGUGAAAUCUUAUGGCUUAACCAUAGAACUGCAUUUGAAACUGGUAUUCUAGAGUUUGGGAGAGGUAGGUGGAAUUCUUGGUGUAGCGGUGAAAUGCGUAGAGAUCAAGAGGAAUACUCAUUGCGAAGGCGACCUGCUAGAACAUAACUGACGCUGAGGCGCGAAAGCGUGGGGAGCAAACAGGAUUAGAUACCCCUGUAGUC